RNAcentral lists this ribosomal RNA (230 nucleotides) under uncultured bacterium. RNAcentral's name for it is "partial 16S ribosomal RNA". It matches the Rfam family "Bacterial small subunit ribosomal RNA", at positions 123 to 353 of the family's 1533-position model. The record is from RNAcentral.
AAACUGCCUGAUGGAGGGGGAUAACUACUGGAAACGGUAGCUAAUACCGCAUAACGUCGCAAGACCAAAGAGGGGGACCUUCGGGCCUCUUGCCAUCGGAUGUGCCCAGAUGGGAUUAGCUAGUAGGUGGGGUAACGGCUCACCUAGGCGACGAUCCCUAGCUGGUCUGAGAGGAUGACCAGCCACACUGGAACUGAGACACGGUCCAGACUCCUACGGGAGGCAGCAUG